This 440-nucleotide ribosomal RNA is filed under the name uncultured bacterium. Its description in RNAcentral is "bacterial SSU rRNA". It matches the Rfam family "Bacterial small subunit ribosomal RNA", at positions 340 to 774 of the family's 1533-position model. The record is from RNAcentral.
UACGGGAGGCAGCAGUGGGGAAUAUUGCACAAUGGGCGCAAGCCUGAUGCAGCCAUGCCGCGUGUAUGAAGAAGGCCUUCGGGUUGUAAAGUACUUUCAGUCGUGAGGAAGGUGUUAAGGUUAAUAACCUUAGCAAUUGACGUUAGCGACAGAAGAAGCACCGGCUAACUCCGUGCCAGCAGCCGCGGUAAUACGGAGGGUGCGAGCGUUAAUCGGAAUUACUGGGCGUAAAGGGCACGCAGGCGGUUAAUUAAGUUGGAUGUGAAAUCCCCGGGCUUAACCUGGGAAUGGCAUUCAAGCUGGUUAGCUAGAGUCUUGUAGAGGGGGUAGAAUUCCAUGUGUAGCGGUGAAAUGCGUAGAGAUGUGGAGGAAUACCGGUGGCGAAGGCGGCCCCUGGGACAAAGGCUGACGCUCAUGUGCGAAAGCGUGGGGAGCAAACG